Molecule: long non-coding RNA, 2367 nt
Organism: Arabidopsis lyrata subsp. lyrata
Lineage: Eukaryota; Viridiplantae; Streptophyta; Magnoliopsida; Brassicales; Brassicaceae
Exons: 2
Source: RefSeq, a predicted model, not a curated record
AAACAAAUUAGCGUUUUGUACACACUUUGUGUCUUCUAUCUUGUUAUAUAUAUUUAUUAAUCAAAAGGUUUCAGAAGUUAGCCAAAUUGUAACUUUCAAGAAAAACCAAACUAAUUAAUCAUACCCUUCCUCAAUUUUUGUUUCAUUUUAUAAUACGGAUAGCUAUGGAUUCUUAUAUUCAUCAUCACCAUCAAGUCAAUUCCUACAUAUAUAUAUGGAUUCUUACUCAUCUACACCAUCAUCAAAUGGAUCCGAAAAUCUUGAUAAUCUUUACGUGUUUCUCUAUAUAAUUCACGAAUAUAAACUUAAAUGUGGGAGUAGUGAUGCCAAUUAAUUUGAUAAUGUUAUUUUUUGGACCCACUUUUUUUUUUUGAAUUUCCAAGACUAAAUGAUUCCCCGCAAGAAGGUCAGAGGCGAGACAAACAAGGUACAUCGUCCAUUUGGUGGAAUUUGAAAGACAUUACCAACUUCUUCUUUAUUGCAUAAUAUGAAUCAAUUUUCAUAUUCGUUUGGUACUUAAUAAGUUAAUAUAAUCAAAUCCAACACAUAUAUUUCAUAAUUUUCUUUAAAAAGGUAUAGUGUACCAAUUACCAAAACCUAAACAAUAACAAAACUACAUGAAUCACAAGUUCAAUAUACCUAGAUAAGAUUCGACUUAAUCUAAGAAUCAUUUUUGAUCCAUUUUGAGUUUUGAAGCAUCCUAGUUUUGGGUAUAUGUAUAUAUAAUAACAAGCUUGAAUCCAAAACAAUUAUAUAUAUGCAUUGCUACUUUUUUUCUAUAAGGUUUGAUUAUAUGCAUUGCUAGUUUCUUAUCGUGACAAUAUAUAAAUAUAUAUAUCACUAACCAAAUUUUUUUUGCCUGGUAUGGUUAUUCAUCAAUUUGUUCAACUUUUUCAUUAAAUUUGGGUUUCGGGUGUAAAAUUGUUGUUAAUUUAAAUUUCGCAUUUUAACAACAACAAAAAAAAAACAAGAUUUCAUAACAAAUCAUAAAUAAAGUAUAUUUCAUAAAUCACAAAUCAUAUUUCAUCACAUUUGGCAUAGAAACAAAUCAUAAAUAAAGCAUCUUUAACUAAUAUGUCCACUGAAGUUGCUCAUCCAUAUCAAUAGACCCAAUAAAACCACUAGAAUACAUAUAUACUUUGUUAUGUACCAUAUAAAAGGUAUAAUGUAAGAUUUGAAAUAUCUAUACCAAAUCUUCAACAAAAAAAACAAAAAGUGAUAUUGGUGGAAAAUAAAAGGAGAAGUUUGAAGAUGGGGUUUGAUAAGGCAAAGAAGGAAAACCAUUAAAUAAGAAUACUAUUUGUUGUUGUUAUUGUUAGAUUCUCUCAACCAUCAAUCCAUCCUCUACUUCUCUUUAAAUUCUUGUAACCUUUUAUGAGGGGGACCAAGGACCAACCAUAUUUUAGGGUAUGGCCAAAACAAUUUAAAUCCAACAAGCUUUAACAACAAAUUAUGGGUUAAUCAAACAAGAAACGUCAAAGUAACUAACCCUCUUUGACAAAAAAAAAAAAAAAAAAAAAAAAAAAACUAACCCUCAAGUAGCUGAAUUGCGCCUAUAGAAAAAGUUCUUCAAUAUUGUGAGUUUGAAUCUCGACGGUGGGAAGAGGGCUGAUUUAACUUGGCGUGUUUGUGUAAAAAUUUCGGAUAUGCGAAUGGACAUCCAGUCCAAAUCGUUGAGAAUCGACUUCUAAAAAAUGAAUGAACAUACUACAUACACAAAGAAAUCAAGGGCCACUCGGGAAAGUGGCGAAAACGGGAUCGAGAAAACAAAGCGUGUGUGACAUGAACAUAUAAGUAGACAACUUUCAAUUUUUCGUCAGUUAUGCAUAUACAUAUGUCACACUACACUAGUAUUAAGAGAGUUCAAAAUAAAGUACACUUAACUAUUCGAAUUAUGGAGAUGAUUAUUGCGGAGCCAGAUGAGGAUUCCUCCAGAACAAGAAAAUUAUGUGGGUGUUGCUAAUCAAGUGACUGGUCUUUUUGAGAAGAGAUAUCUCUCUAAUGCUCUGUUAUAGACACAUUUUCUAAUUAGUGUUUUGUUUCUAUAUGAACUUCUCUAAUCUAGAAAAAUGUUGCAUUGUUUAUUGAAUGCUAAGAUGGGAUAAUGGAAAAGAGGAGAUGUUGCAUUUACCUCUAUGAUUGGGUAAUGUAAUGGGCCUAUGUCACAUUGUUACAAAAAGGCCCAAUAAAUUUUAUCUUUUUAUUUUCCCUCGUGGUCGAGAGGCCCACGAAAACUACAUGAAUAAAAUUUCCGUCGCAAUAACAUGUACCCAUUUUAUUGGUUUGGGAUUUAGAAAGACUUUUAAUGAGUUUAAAAGUUAUGUAGAAUAUGUUGUUAUUCAAUCAAGAUUUUUAAAAACUCUAUUA